RNAcentral lists this long non-coding RNA (1253 nucleotides) under Erythranthe guttata (spotted monkey flower). Its description in RNAcentral is "long non-coding RNA (EGUT_LNC003689)". Lineage: Eukaryota; Viridiplantae; Streptophyta; Magnoliopsida; Lamiales; Phrymaceae. The record is from RNAcentral.
AAGCUAAGAUUCCUCUAGAAGUUAUGUGGACGGAUAUUGAUUACAUGGACGGUUACAAAGAUUUCACUCUUGAUCCCAUUAAUUUUCCAGCUGAUAAGAUGAAGAAAUUUGUGGAUCAACUUCACAAGAAUGGUCAGAAGUACGUGGUUAUCGUAGAUCCUGGUAAGCUCUAAAUGAUCUUCCGAUAUAUUAAUGCAUCGCACACUGAUUUUUUUAUUUUUUAUUUAUUUUCUAAAUAAACUGCAGGCAUCAGUGUGAACGAGACAUAUCCUACAUACGUAAGAGGGAUGAAAGCUGAAAUCUUUAUAAAACGUGAUGGUGUUCCUUACCUCGGUAAAGUUUGGCCUGGAUUAACUUACUUCCCCGACUUUCUGAACCCGUCCAGCGAAUCCUUUUGGAGCAAUGAGAUAAGAAUAUUCCUCGACCUUCUCCCAGUUGAUGGGAUCUGGAUUGACAUGAACGAGCUGUCAAAUUUCAUUUCCUCGCCUGCAAAUCCAUCUUCUACAAUAGACGAUCCUCCCUAUAAGAUAAACAACUCGGGUUAUCAGCGUCCAAUCAAUGAGAAAACUGUUGCAGCAACAUCACUGCAUUUCGGAAAUGUCACAGAGUACAACAUUCACAAUCUCUACGGAUUUUUGGAAUCGAGAGCUACUAAUGCUGCUUUAGCUAAUGUAACUGGAAAAAGGCCAUUUGUGCUGAGUAGGUCUACUUUUGUGGGUUCUGGCAAAUACACUGCACACUGGACUGGUGAUAAUGCUGCAACAUGGAGUGACUUGGCUUACACAAUCCCAAGCAUCUUAAAUUUUGGACUGUUUGGUAUUCCGAUGGUUGGAGCCGAUAUAUGCGGUUUUUCAGGAAACACAACCGAAGAACUUUGUAGGCGAUGGAUUCAGGUAUAUGAGUAUAUAUGCAUAUAUAUAAAGUUUUUGCCACAAAAAAUGGUUGAAAUAGAAUAUAGUUAUCCAGACUUACCUUAAUUUGAUGCUAAGAAACUUGUUUUGUAGUUAGGAGCAUUUUAUCCCUUUGCUAGAGACCACUCUUCGAUCGGAACCAGUCGUCAAGAACUGUACAUCUGGAAGUCAGUUGCGGCAACAGCUAGGAAAGUGUUGGGAUUUCGUUACAGGCUAUUACCGUACUUUUACACGUUAAUGUACGAGGCGCACUCUAAAGGCAUACCUAUUGCACGACCUAUUUUCUUCUCAUUUCCCGACGAUACAAAGACUUACGAAAUCAGCUCCCAGUUUCUUCUUGGC